GUGAAGCUGGAUUCGCUAGUAAUCGCGCAUCAGCCAUGGCGCGGUGAAUACGUUCCCGGGCCUUGUACACACCGCCCGUCAGGCCAUGGGAGCCGGGGGUGCUUGAAGUGCGUCGCCGCAAGGCGCGCCCUAGAGCAAAACCGGUGACUGGGGCUAAGUCGUAACAAGGUAUC
Molecule: ribosomal RNA, 173 nt
Filed under: uncultured bacterium
Lineage: Bacteria
Description: partial 16S ribosomal RNA
Rfam family: Bacterial small subunit ribosomal RNA
Source: RNAcentral